AAGCUAUGAAAAGAAAAAGAAAAACCUCAGGUCAUUGAUUUGAACAGGAGACAAGCAGGCAGGCUAGCAGACACAAGCAUACAUAAUGCAUUAUAACUUUCCUGGGCAUGCAGUAACAGAACAUUAGCCUAUACUACUUGACAAACUAUACUACUUUGACAUUCUCUGAACCUAUACUCAAUGGGAAUUGUGUACGGUACAUUUAUGGACAUGACGAUUAUAUAACUAAAAGUAGGCUACACGUAAGCUAGUAUUUUAAAAGGACCAGUACUUUGCAUGUGGCAAUCACAAGACUAAUUGUUCACUACAUAAUUACCCCUCGCUUGAAGCAGGUUAAUACUAUGACAAUACCUGCUAUUCAUUGAUUCAUUGCCUGGGAACAAUAAAACAAAAUCUCCCUUAUGUAACUCAGAUAACCCAAUAAAAACUAGCCUGGUAACAAACCUGUUUGUGCUCUUGUAUACUCCACUGCUCAUUGUCAAGCCAUACAUACACGUUACAGUAGGCAUGAUAGCACAAACAGACUAGCACUCAGGUUAAAAUAAAAUCAGAUUAAAGUAAUUGGUGGGGAAAUGCAGGGUUGGGAGAAGAAGAAAAAACUUUGACCCACAAACACCAGAGUCAACCAGGUCUUGCUUAGCAUCACAGUCAACCAGGUCUUGGUUAACAUCACAGUCAACCAGGUCUUGGUUAACAUCACAGACAACCAGGUCUUGGUUAACAUCACAGUCAACCAGGUCUUGGUUAACACCACAGUCAACCAGGUCUUGGUUAACUCCCACAGUCAACCAGGUCUUGGUUAACACCACAGUCAACCAGGUCUUGGUUAACAUCACAUACAACCAGGUCUUGGUUAACAUCACAGACAACCAGGUCUUGGUUAACACCACAGUCAACCACGUUUUGGGUAUUUUAAAGAUGCCCUACUACAUCUGAUCAUGCAGCUACCCAACCUCCUUGCUCCGGCCAAACGCAACGCCACACCCACAGACGUCAGCUUCCUCUCAGCAAUGAGUCUGGAUCUGAGUAACUCCCAGACGAUGUCUAGAACGGAUUUCUGAUUGGUCCCUGAAACCGAUGUGUUGGGCCAGAACACACUUGGUUAAAGCAGUGUUUUUAAAAUGUGUCAUUGGCUUUGAUACUCUGAUUGGUUAGAGAUGAUCCAAUCGCUGAUGACUGACUAUGUUUUGUACAACACCCCUCAUUGUGACGUCACCACCGACGACUUCAAUGACGGCCGUCUCAGACUGAACUACGUAGUGAACGAUAGAGCAACGGAAGACUUCGGUUUGAGUCGUCAGCCAAGCGAUACAGGACAGAGAAGUGAUCCGUGUGGCUGGUAAAACUCAGGAAUUCCAUUUAUACAUUAUACACAUAGGCUAUAAAUAUACGACAUUGAUAAAUCCAUGAUUCACCUUCUGAAGUCCCAGAGCAAUGCAUACACACGGCCCAAGUGAACUCCGUUUUACUUCUUUAUUGGAAUGAAAAGGCAUACAGAGGUCUUCUCUCUCCCUUUAUCAGUUACAUUCAGAGAACAAACAGCAGUAAGAGGCAUGUUCUACAGCAGUCAGAGGCAUGUUCUACAGCAGUCAGAGGCAUGUUCUACAGCAGUCAGAGGCAUGUUCUACAGCAGUCAGGGGCAUGUUCUACAGCAGUCAGAGGCAUGUUCUACAGCAGUCAGAGGCAUGUUCUACAGCAGUCAGAGGCAUGUUCUACAGCAGUCAGAGGCAUGUUCUACAGCAGUCAGAGGCAUGUUCUACAGCAGUCAGAGGCAUGUUCUACAGCAGUCAGAGGCAUGUUCUACAGCAGUCAGAGGCAUGUUCUACAGCAGUCAGGGGCAUGUUCUACAGCAGUCAGAGGCAUGUUCUACAGCAGUCAGAGGCAUGUUCUACAGCAGUCAGAGGCAUGUUCUACAGCAGUCAGAGGCAUGUUCUACAGCAGUCAGAGGCAUGUUCUACAGCAGUCAGAGGCAUGUUCUACAGCAGUCAGAGGCAUGUUCUACAGCAGUCAGAGGCAUGUUCUACAGCAGUCAGAGGCAUGUUCUACAGCAGUCAGAGGCAUGUUCUACAGCAGUCAGGGGCAUGUUCUACAGCAGUCAGGGGCAUGUUCUACAGCAGUCAGAGGCAUGUUCUACAGCAGUCAGGGGCAUGUUCUACAGCAGUCAGAGGCAUGUUCUACAGCAGUCAGAGGCAUGUUCUACAGCAGUCAGAGGCAUGUUCUACAGCAGUCAGAGGCAUGUUCUACAGCUCUGUAUGCCAUAGCUCCUUUUGCAUAUUUAAUUCAAUUGUAUAGAAUUGUAGCUUUCACCCUUAUUGCAUAGUAUAGUUGCCAUGGAGCCCUAAUAGCAGCCUAAGCAUAGAGCUCCUGUAAAAUGUACACAUACACUACCGGUCAAAAGUCAAAACACCUACUCAUUCAAGGGUUUUUCUUUAUUUUUUUACAAUUUCCUACAUUGUAGAAUAAUGGUGAAGACAUCAACACUAUGAAAUAAAGCGCAUGGAAUCAUGUAUUAACCCCCCCAAAAAAUCUAUAAAAUCAACAUUGAUUUUAUAUUUGAGAUUUUUCAAAUAGCCACCCUUUGCCUUGAUGACAGCUUUGCAGCGUCACCUGGAAUGCUUUUCCAACCGUCUUGAAGGAGUUCCCACAUAUGCUGAGCCCUUGUUGGCUGCUUUUCCUUCACUCCGCAGUCCAACUCAUCCCAAACCAUUUCAAUUGGGUUGAGGUUGGGGGAUUGUGGAGGCCAGGCCAUCUGAUGCAAAAUAGCCCUUACACACAGCCUGGAGGUGUGUUGGGUCAUUGUCCUGCUGAAAAACAAAUGAUAGUGGGACUAAACCCAAACCAGAUGUGAUGGUGUAUUCCUGCAGAAUUCUGUGGUAGACAUGCUGGUAAGGUGUGCCUUGAAUUCUAAAUACAUCUCAGACCGUGUCACCAGUAAAGCACCCUCACACCAUCACACCUCCUCCUCCAUGCUUCACGGUGGGAAAUACAUGUGCGGAGAUCAUCCGUUCACCCACACAGAGUCUCACAAAGACACGGUGGAUGGAACCAAAAGUCUCCAAUUUGGACUCCAAUCCAAAGGACAAAUUUCCACCGGUCGAAUGUCUAUUGCUCGUGUUUCUUGGCCCAAGGAAAGAAGAGGAAAUCUCUUCUUAUUAUUGGUGUCCUUUAGUAGUGGUUUCUUUGCAGCAAUUUGACCAAGAAGGCCUGAUUCACACAGUCUCCUCUGAACAGUUGGUGUUGAGAUGUGUCUGUUACUUGAUGUUUGAAGCAUAUAUUUGGGCUGCAAUUUCUGAGGCUGGUAACUCUAAUGAACUAAUCCUCUGUAGCAGAGGUAACUCCGGGUCUUCCAUUCCUGUGGCGGUCCUCAUGAGAGCCAGUUUCAUCAUAUCGCUUGAUGGUUUUUGCGACUGCACUUUAAGAAAUGUUCAAAGUUCUUGAAAUGCUCCGUAUUGACCAACCUUCAUGUCUUAAAGUAAUGGACUGUUGUUUAUCUUUGCUUAUUUGAGCUGCUCUUGCCAUAAUAUGGACUUGGUAUUUUACCAAAUAGGGCUAUCUUCUGUAUACCCCCCUACCUUGUCACAACACAACUGAUUGGCUCAAACGCAUUAAAGAGUAAAGAAAUUCCACAAAUCUACUUAAGGCACACCUGUUAAUUGAAAUGCAUUCCAGGUGACUACCUCAUUAAGCUGGUUGAGAGAAUGCCAAGAGUGUGCAAAGCUGUCAUCAAAGCAAAGUGUGGCUAUUAGAAGAAUAUCAAAUUUAAAAUAUAUUUAGACACUUUUUUGGUUACUAUAGGAUUCCAUGUGUUAUUUCAUAGUUUUGAUGUCGUCACUAUUAUUCUACAAUGUAGAAAAUAGUCAAAAUAAAGAAAAACCCUUGAAUGAGUAUGUGUUCUAAAACGUUUGACCGGUAGUGUAUAUACACACAAAAGUAUGUGGACACCCCUUCAAAUUAGUGGCUGUCAGGUGUAUAAAAUCGAGCACACAGCCAUGAAAUCACAACUGGCAAACAUUGGCAGUAGAAUGGCCUGUACUGAAGAGCUCAGUGAUUUUCAACAUGGCACCGUCAUAAGAUGCCACCUUUCCAACAAGUCAGUUUGUAAAAUUUCUGCCCUGCUAGAGCUGCCCUGGUCAACUGUAAGUGUUAUUGUGAAGUGAAAACGUCUAGGCACAACAACGGCUCAGCCACGAAGUGGUAGGUCACACAAGCUCACAGAACGGGACCGCGGAGUGCUGAAUCCCGUAGCGCGUAAAUAUCAUCUGUCCUCGGUUGUAACACUCACUACCGAGCUCCAAACUCCCUCUGGAAGCAAUGUCAGCACAAUAACUGUUCGUCGGGAGCUUCAUUAUAUGGGUUUCCAUGACCAAGCAGUCACACACACAAGCCUAAGAUCACGAUGUGCAAUGCCAAGCAUCGGCUGGAGUGGUAUAAAGCUCGCCUCCACUGGACUCUGGAGUAGUGGAAAUUCGUUCUCCAGAGUGAUGAAUCACGCUUCACUAUCUGGCAGUCCGACAGACAGAACUGGGUUUGGCAGAUGUCAGGGGAAUGCUACCUGCCCCAAUGCAUAGUGCCAACUGUAAAGUUUGGUGGAGGAGGAAUAAUAGUCUGGGGCUGUUUUUCAUGGUUCGGGCUAGGCCACUUAGUUACAGUGAGGGGAAAUCUUAACGCUAUAUUAUACAAUGACAUUCUAGAUGAUUCUAUGCUAACCAACCUUGAGGCAACAGUUUGAGGAAGGUCCUUUCUUGUUUCAGCAUGACAAUGCCCCCAUGCAUAAAACGAGAUCCAUACAAAAAUACGUUGGCGAGAUUAGUGUGGAAGAACUUGACUGUCCUCCACAGAGCCCUGACCUCAACCCCCUCGAACACCUUUGGGAAGAAUUGGAACGCAGACUGCGAGCCAGGCCUAAUCGCCCAACAUCAGUGCACAACCUCACUAAUGCUCUUGUGGCUGAAUGGAAGCCAGUCCCCGCAGCAAUGUUCCAACAUCUAGUGGAAAGCCUUUCCAGAAGAGUGGAGGCUGUUGUAGCAGCACUGUUCCAACAUCUAGUGGAAAGCCUUUCCAGAAGAGUAGAGGCUGUUAUAGCAGCGAAGGGCAGGGGGGGGGGGACCAACUCCAUAUUAAUGCCCAUGAUUCUGGAAUGAGAUAGUCGACAAGCAGGUGUCCACAUACUUUUGGUUGGGUGUGUGUAUGUAUGUCUGUAGAGCGACUUUUUAGUGCCAAAAAUCAGGGAUUAAAUCCUUCCCAGAAGAGUGGAGGCUGUUAUAUAUUGCUUGUUUGUUUUUGAAGCACAUUGAGAUUCUUUGAAAAGCGCUAUAGAAACUUAAUAAAUUAUUAUUAAAUAUAAAUA
Molecule: long non-coding RNA, 5347 nt
Organism: Oncorhynchus keta (chum salmon)
Lineage: Eukaryota; Metazoa; Chordata; Actinopteri; Salmoniformes; Salmonidae
Exons: 4
Source: RefSeq, a predicted model, not a curated record